Molecule: ribosomal RNA, 253 nt
Filed under: uncultured bacterium
Lineage: Bacteria
Description: partial 16S ribosomal RNA
Rfam family: Bacterial small subunit ribosomal RNA
Source: RNAcentral
UACGGGGGGGGCAAGCGUUGUUCGGAAUUACUGGGCUUAAAGGGUGCGUAGGCGGCUUUCUAAGUUGGAUGUGAAAACUCUGGGCUCAACCCAGAGCCUGCAUCCAAAACUGGAGAGCUUGGGUUCUGGAGGGGAAAGCGGAAUUCCUGGUGUAGCGGUGAAAUGCGUAGAUAUCAGGAGGAACACCGGUGGCGAAGGCGGCUUUCUGGACAGAUACCGACGCUGAGGCACGAAAGCUAGGGGAGCAAACAGG